Molecule: ribosomal RNA, 275 nt
Filed under: uncultured bacterium
Lineage: Bacteria
Description: partial 16S ribosomal RNA
Rfam family: Bacterial small subunit ribosomal RNA
Source: RNAcentral
GCGUGAGUGAUGAAGGCCUUAGGGUUGUAAAGCUCUUUUAGUGGUGAAGAUAAUGACGGUAACCACAGAAAAAGCCCCGGCUAACUUCGUGCCAGCAGCCGCGGUAAUACGAAGGGGGCUAGCGUUGUUCGGAUUUACUGGGCGUAAAGCGCACGUAGGCGGAUUGGUAAGUUAGAGGUGAAAUCCCGGGGCUCAACUCCGGAACUGCCUUUAAUACUGCCAAUCUCGAGUCCGAGAGAGGUGAGUGGAACUCCUAGUGUAGAGGUGGAAUUCGU